UGGAGAAUCCCAUGAACCAUCAAGUUUCUGAACGCAAGUUGCGCCUGAAGCCAUUAAGCCGAUGGUGACCUGCCUGGGCGUCACACGCCGUUGCCCCCCCAGCACCUCCCUUGGAAGCGUCGGUGAGCGGACGAUGGCUUUCAGUAUGUCACCACACGUGGUUGGCACAAAUGUUUAGUCCCCGGCGACGAACGCCACGACAAUCGUUGGUUGUCAAACCUCGGUUGCUUGUUGUGCACUUUCACCGAGCUUUGGGUGGCUCACGAUGCUUAUUGCUUUACUUCGGCGGAGCCUCCAUUAAGCCGAUGGUGACCUGCCUGGGCGUCACACGCAGUUGCCCCCUCCCCGGCACCUCCCUUGGAAGCGUCGGUGAGCGAACGAUGGCUUUCAGUACGUCACCACACGUGGUUGGCACAAAUGUUUAGUCCCUGGCAACGAACGCCACGACAAUCGUUGGUUGUCAAACCUCGGUUGCUUGUUGUGCACUUUCAUCGAGCUCUGGGCGGCUCAUGAUGCUCACUGCUUUACUUCGGCGGAGCCUUCAACGCGACCCCAGGUCAGGCAGGGUUACCCACUAAAUUU
RNAcentral lists this ribosomal RNA (582 nucleotides) under Crataegus aemula. Its description in RNAcentral is "eukaryotic LSU rRNA". The record is from RNAcentral. Lineage: Eukaryota; Viridiplantae; Streptophyta; Magnoliopsida; Rosales; Rosaceae.